This 253-nucleotide ribosomal RNA is filed under the name uncultured bacterium. Its description in RNAcentral is "partial 16S ribosomal RNA". It matches the Rfam family "Bacterial small subunit ribosomal RNA", at positions 524 to 776 of the family's 1533-position model. The record is from RNAcentral.
GACGAAGGGGGCUAGCGUUGCUCGGAAUCACUGGGCGUAAAGCGCACGUAGGCGGCCGAUCAAGUCGGGGGUGAAAGCCUGUGGCUCAACCACAGAAUUGCCUUCGAUACUGUUUGGCUUGAGACCGGAAGAGGUUAGUGGAACUGCGAGUGUAGAGGUGAAAUUCGUAGAUAUUCGCAAGAACACCAGUGGCGAAGGCGGCUGACUGGUCCGGUUCUGACGCUGAGGCGCGAAAGCGUGGGGAGCAAACAGG